This 467-nucleotide ribosomal RNA is filed under the name uncultured bacterium. Its description in RNAcentral is "partial 16S ribosomal RNA". It matches the Rfam family "Bacterial small subunit ribosomal RNA", at positions 28 to 507 of the family's 1533-position model. The record is from RNAcentral.
GACGAACGCUGGCGGCGUGCUUAACACAUGCAAGUCGAACGGAAAGGCUCCAGCUUGCUGGAGUACUCGAGUGGCGAACGGGUGAGUAACACGUGGGUAAUCUGCCCUGCACUCUGGGGUAAGCCUGGGAAACUGGGUCUAAUACUGGAUAUGACCUUUCUCCUUAUGGGGUUUGGUGGAAAGUUUUUCGGUGUAGGAUGAGCCCGCGGCCUAUCAGCUUGUUGGUGGGGUGAUGGCCUACCAAGGCGACGACGGGUAGCCGGCCUGAGAGGGUGAUCGGCCACAUUGGGACUGAGAUACGGCCCAGACUCCUACGGGAGGCAGCAGUGGGGAAUAUUGCACAAUGGGCGGAAGCCUGAUGCAGCGACGCCGCGUGAGGGAUGACGGCCUUCGGGUUGUAAACCUCUUUCAGCAGGGACGAAGCGUAAGUGACGGUACCUGCAGAAGAAGCACCGGCUAACUAUGUG